GACGAACGCUGGCGGCGUGCUUAACACAUGCAAGUGGAGCGACGAACCAGGGCUUGCCCUGGGGCAGAGCCGCGAACGGGUGAGUAUCACGUGGGUAACGUACCCCGAUGACUGGGACAACCCGGGGAAACCCGGGCUAAUACCGGAUGUGCCCCCUCACAUCAGUGAGGUGUGUAAAGGAAGCUUCGGCCUCCGCAUCGGGAUCGGCCUGCGGCCCAUUAGCUUGUUGGUGAGGAACGGCUCACCAAGGCUUCGAUGGGUAGCUGGUCUGAGAGGACGAUCAGCCACACUGGGACUGAGACACGGCCCAGACUCCUACGGGAGGCAGCAGUGGGGAAUCUUGCGCAAUGCGCGAAAGCGUGACGCAGCAACG
This 373-nucleotide ribosomal RNA is filed under the name uncultured bacterium. RNAcentral describes it as "bacterial SSU rRNA". It matches the Rfam family "Bacterial small subunit ribosomal RNA", at positions 28 to 396 of the family's 1533-position model. The record is from RNAcentral.